RNAcentral lists this ribosomal RNA (360 nucleotides) under uncultured bacterium. RNAcentral's name for it is "bacterial SSU rRNA". It matches the Rfam family "Bacterial small subunit ribosomal RNA", at positions 443 to 793 of the family's 1533-position model. The record is from RNAcentral.
GGUAGUCGUAGUUAACACCUGCACUAUUUGACGUUACCUACAGAAGAAGCACCGGCUAACUCCGUGCCAGCAGCCGCGGUAAUACGGAGGGUGCGAGCGUUAAUCGGAAUUACUGGGCGUAAAGCGCAUGCAGGCGGCCUGUUAAGUCAGAUGUGAAAGACCCGGGGCGUUAACCUCCGGAAUUGCAUUUGAAACUGGCAGGCUAGAGUCUUGUAGAGGGGGGUAGGAAUUUCUAGGUGUAGCGGUGAAAUAGCGUAGAGAUCUGAAGGAAUACCAGUGGCGAAGGCGGCCCCCUGGACAAAGACUGACGCUCAGAUGCGAAAGCGUGGGGAGCCAAACAGGAUUAGAUACCCCUGGUAG